This 463-nucleotide long non-coding RNA is filed under the name Cricetulus griseus (Chinese hamster). RNAcentral describes it as "lncRNA (ENSCGRG00015037146.1)". Lineage: Eukaryota; Metazoa; Chordata; Mammalia; Rodentia; Cricetidae. The record is from RNAcentral.
UCUGAAGCCAGCUCCUACGCAGCCAACUUCAGCUGGGCUUGUGUACCUUAUGAAUACUUUGUUUUCCCAGUGAGACUUCCUUGAAGAAAACUAAAUUUUCAUUUCUGCCACCCACCACUGCCAAACACCGUGGACUAACUGAACACCUGUGCCACCCACUGGCCAAACAAAGUUACUGCAUCUGGAGUAGAAAUGAGGUAAAAUUAUGGUGGAAUAUUUAUCAUUUGCUAAAAUUGGUAACAUUUUUGCUUAUUAUGUGAAUUCACUGUUUAAGGAGGAUGCUAAUCUGCCAAUUACUGGCCUAUAUACCGUAACGACAUUUAGCUUGCUGGUACAAAUAAUAUUACUAGCCAGAGGAAUCAGGAAUAGGCAUAAGGAAAACCUCACCACCUACUUACAGGAAAUAACAGCUUUAUGCAGUGAGGUUUAGGAGAACAGAUUAGGUCAGACCACAAUUGUGCAG